CCUGUUAUCCCAAAAAACCACUAUACCUCCAACAGCAUCCCUUGAGUCCAGAUCUCCCCACUCUUAAGCUGCAAACGAGACUCCUUGACAUUUCUUGGAUCUUAGUUUUCUAUAAGCAAACCAAAUCCACCUUAUUCUUUUUUAUCAAGGCUUUGAUCACCUUCCUCUUGUCAUUGUCAUUAGCCCCUCUUACAUUCUAGGAAAGCAUUCGAAUCUUCACCUAGAC
This 226-nucleotide long non-coding RNA is filed under the name Vitis vinifera (wine grape). RNAcentral's name for it is "long non-coding RNA (VVIN_LNC004651)". Lineage: Eukaryota; Viridiplantae; Streptophyta; Magnoliopsida; Vitales; Vitaceae. The record is from RNAcentral.